AUUAACCCUUACCUAAGAAGUGAAACUUGAGUAGAGGGCAAAUAUAUUUAGCCUGUCUUAUAAAAAUUCAUCUGCAGAAGAAGAAGAAACCACAGACCAAGUCAGUGCUCGGGUCCAACACAGGUUUUCAGAUAAACCACGUCUGUAGCACAGCUCAGUUCAGGUUAGGGAAGUGUUUAAGACACUCAGCGCUGGUUAUUAGUCAGACAGCGUCCAAAAAUAUGACACGACGCGUGAUGAGCGAGAACGAGGGAGACGUGACUUCCGCGUGAGCAGAGUCGAGAGCAGGAGCGUUAAGUCCGUGUGCAGAGGAAGCUGCGAUGCAAGAGGCUGAAGACUCGGGCGUGGGGGAGGGGAGGAUGAGCGAGAAUCUGACUGCUGACCUGAACCACAGGAGUUACACAUCCCUGCUUUCUGUGGACGGGAAGUGGAACCGGCACAGGCCAAAGAACACGGACGAGAGACCGAGAGAGUGAAAGUGAGAUUCUUUUAUCGUUGACCCACUUUGGUCUCUGGGGACUUAAAUAAUUAAAACUUCAAUAAAUAAUUAAAAACCCCGA
Long non-coding RNA from Solea senegalensis (Senegalese sole), 560 nucleotides. RefSeq lists it as uncharacterized. The transcript is spliced from 2 exons. The record is from RefSeq and is a predicted model, not a curated record. Lineage: Eukaryota; Metazoa; Chordata; Actinopteri; Pleuronectiformes; Soleidae.